Panicum virgatum (switchgrass) is the source of this 319-nucleotide long non-coding RNA. RefSeq lists it as uncharacterized. The record is from RefSeq and is a predicted model, not a curated record. The transcript is spliced from 2 exons. Lineage: Eukaryota; Viridiplantae; Streptophyta; Magnoliopsida; Poales; Poaceae.
GGAUGAAUGGUUUAAUGACUUGAUGAUAUGCUACAUUGAGAAGCAGAUAUUUAGAAGCAUUGGUAAUGAAAAAAUCAUGCAACAUUUUGAAGAGAUGAAAAAACGCCGUAUGUUGUUGCCUAAACAGAAUUUAGUGAUUGCUCCUCAUGAAGAAUAAUGGGUAUCAAGUAGGUGUUUGGUGUGGAGAAAUUGUCGAUUUGUCUUUGGCUACUUUUUCAACAUGUAAUUUGUAUUAUUCCUCUCUGUUUUUAUAUAUGCUACUUUGAACUAUGAUGCUGCUCUAUUAUGAGAAUUGAGAUAAUAUAAUUGUUGGUUGCGU